RNAcentral lists this ribosomal RNA (423 nucleotides) under uncultured bacterium. Its description in RNAcentral is "partial 16S ribosomal RNA". It matches the Rfam family "Bacterial small subunit ribosomal RNA", at positions 361 to 776 of the family's 1533-position model. The record is from RNAcentral.
AUAUUGGACAAUGGGCGAAACCCUGAUCCAGCCAUCCCGCGUGUAUGUUGAAGUCCUUCGGGUUGUAAAGCACAUUAUGUUGGGAGGAAGGGUUGUAGGUUAAUACCCUGCAAUUUUGACGUUACCAACAGAAUAAGCACCUGCUAACUUCGUCCCAGCAGCCGCGGUAAUACGAAGGGUGCAAACGUUAAUCGGAAUUAAUGGGCGUAAAGCGGGAGUAGGUGGUUCGUUAAGUUGGAAGUGAAAGCCCCGGGCUUAACCUGGGAAUCGCUUUCAAAACUGACGAGCUAGAGUACGGUAGAGGGUAGUGGAAUUUACUGUGUAGCGGUGAAAUGCGUAGAUAUAGGAAGGAACAUCAGUGGCGAAGGCGACUACCUGGACUGAUACUGACACUGAGGUGCGAAAGCGUGGGGAGCAAACAGG